AACGAACGCUGGCGGCAUGCCUAACACAUGCAAGUCGAACGGCAGCACGGGAGCUUGCUCCUGGUGGCGAGUGGCGAACGGGUGAGUAACAUAUCGGAACGUACCCCGUCGUGGGGGAUAACUCUCCGAAAGGAGUGCUAAUACCGCAUACGACCUGAGGGUGAAAGCGGGGGACCUGCAAGGGCCUCGCGCGAUGGGAGCGGCCGAUAUCGGAUUAGCUAGUUGGUGAGGUAAAGGCUCACCAAGGCGACGAUCCGUAGCGGGUCUGAGAGGACGACCCGCCACACUGGAACUGAGACAGGUCCAGACUCCUACGGAGGCAGCAGUGGGGAAUUUUGGGACAAUGGGGGAAACCCUGAUCCAGCCAUUCCGCGUGAGUGAAGAAGGCCUC
RNAcentral lists this ribosomal RNA (391 nucleotides) under uncultured bacterium. RNAcentral's name for it is "bacterial SSU rRNA". It matches the Rfam family "Bacterial small subunit ribosomal RNA", at positions 29 to 418 of the family's 1533-position model. The record is from RNAcentral.